UUUUUUUUAAGCCUUCUAGCCCAAAAUGAAAAUUCUUUAACAAAAGUUUAUUUUAUUGAGUAAUCUUUGUACUGGCAACUAACACAGGCAAAAAGGAUGCUCCUGUUUUAACAGCAGUCCAUUUGUGUUUUGACUCUCAAUCCAGUUGUGAAUUAGCAGCUGAAAAUUAAUGUAGGGCUCGUCUGUCCUGGAAAUGGAUGAUGGUCAGCUGCAAGAAGUGGCAGUAAACACUGCAUAUUUAGCACCUUACUCCUUUGGUUUUGGAUUGGUCCAGAUUGCAUGUGAAAAUAAGGAUAGUGUAAUGAACCCUUAUCCAUGCUUUACAACAACUAUUUAAGAUUAUAUAUCUUUGACACAUUUGUACUGAAAAAAGUAAAUCCAAGUGUUUUGUUCUUUCCUGAGCUUUAUAAAUGCUGUUCAGAAAUCAAAUGCACCUGUUUCCUCAAAUCAGAGUAUUUUAAAGGUUGCUUAAUAAGUUCUAUCAGAAGCCCUUUAUUUUGGUAGAGUGGUGAUUUAUUUUACUACAAUAUCUGCUAAGUGAGAUGUUGUCCGUCACUUAAAGUAGCAUGGUUGACCCAGCUGGUUCUUUAGCUCCUUUCCAUCCUCAAAGCAGGUCUUGCUAGCCAGCCAUUCUGUAUGUUGUCUUAGUGAGAUGUUAAACACUGACAGACUACUGAUAGUCUUUGUCUGGUCUGAAAAGCUCUCUUUUAAUGCAUUGGCCAGAAUGUAGGUGAAAUGGCAUGCCUGGCUUUAAAUAUUCAAAAUAUGCCCAAGCUUGUCCCUAACAGCUGUUACGGCUCUUUAUUUUAAUGAUGUAAGCCUGGGUACUUCUGGCUUGUCUAAUCAGCUGCUUGUUAAAAAGCUGACUGCCACCAGGGUAGUAGCGGCUGGUUUCAGGGAGCGUGAGUCGUGAUGCUGACUUACAUGAAUUAGGUAGUUGUAAUUCAGUGGCGCUGACACAAAGAAAUUAAUGCGUGCUCAUGUCUCCUGCCCAGCCCUUUGCAGCUGUUUGUCAGAUUGGAAGCUGCGCUUGGUGAGGGUGGUCUCUAGGGCUGCUGUGCACCUAUGUGUCAACUGGGAUGUUGUCUUAUCUGUUUAAAAGCUCAUUGAAGUUGCAUAUCCCUUUCUUAAUUCUUUCUUUAUCCUCCUCUGGCUAGCUGUCCAGGCUUUUGUGAACAAACCAGAAUUGAUUAUACCAAUUAGAUAGGCCCAGGGGAGAUUUUGAAAUGUAUAUAUUUUUUUUUUCUUUGCUAUUAGAUAGCUCUUUGCUACUCCUAAUGGUUUGUGCAUCCGUGCUUUGAUGCAUUUGUUUUCUUCCUUUUAACUGUUCUCAGUACAUUUGUUAUUUAGGUAACAUGGUUACCUAAAUAUGUAAACAUGGUAUCUAAAAUAUGUUACCUAAAUAACAUGUGAUCUUUAGGUAACAUAGUAGAUGUCAAUGUUUAGCUUGAAAUGUCUAACUUAAUAUUAAACUGGCGAUAUUUCCAGCUGCUGUUAAAGUGCUGUUUGCCUUCCCCCCCUGAAUUGUAUGCAUCUGCAUGAAAGAUGAAUUAAAUGUCACUUGCUGUGCUUCUAGAAGUUGAAUGGUCCAAAUAAAGACUUUGUAUACUCAGAAAUAAGUCAAACUACAAGCUGUUGCAGGCUUUUGAAGGAGUCAGGUUGUUUGAGCUGUUUCUUGGUUAUAACUUCCUUAUCUUGAAACAAAUUCAGUAAAAAAGAAAAAUACGAUUUGGUUAAGAGGCAGUGGGAAACUGUGGUUUGACAUGUAAAGCUAUGACUGUUCAUGUGUGUCUUACCAAACAGAAUGCAUGCUACAGCACAUAGCUUUCCUUUCUUGAAAAUAUUUGUCUUUUUCCUACAGAAGAAGCAUAUGGUGUCCUUUUCUGACCAACUUCCUCUUUCUUGACAAAAGUUCAGUAGUAACUUAUGUUCUGAAGAAAUGGAAACUCUACAGAAAGUUGACUUGACAAUUGAGAAUCUUGACUGUUGCGGUAGUUUUGUAGUAUUGACUCAAUAUGCCUGUUCUAAUAAAAAUAAGCACAUCUCA
Molecule: long non-coding RNA, 2047 nt
Organism: Pezoporus occidentalis (night parrot)
Lineage: Eukaryota; Metazoa; Chordata; Aves; Psittaciformes; Psittacidae
Exons: 2
Source: RefSeq, a predicted model, not a curated record